GACGAACGCUGGCGGCGUGCUUAACACAUGCAAGUCGAGCGGUAAGGCCCUUUCGGGGUACGACGAGCGGCGAACGGGUGAGUAACACGUGGGUGACCUGCCCUCAGCUCUGGGAGUAAGCCUGGGAAACCGGGUCUAAUACUGGAUAUGACUCCAUGACGCAUGUUGUGGGGUGGAAAGCCUUGUGCGGCUGAGGAUGGGCCCGCGGCCUAUCAGCUUGUUGGUGGGGUGAGGCCUACCAAGGCGACGACGGGUAGCCGGCCUGAGAGGGCGACCGGCCACACUGGGACUGAGACACGGCCCAGACUCCUACGGGAGGGCAGCAGUGGGGAAUCUUGCGCAAUGGGCGAAAGCCUGACGCAGCGACGCCGCGUGAGGGAUGACGGCCUGG
Molecule: ribosomal RNA, 391 nt
Filed under: uncultured bacterium
Lineage: Bacteria
Description: bacterial SSU rRNA
Rfam family: Bacterial small subunit ribosomal RNA
Source: RNAcentral